GCCCUCGUGGUGUAGUGGUCAGCACGCUCGACGCGUAACCGAGAGGUCCGUGGUUCGAUUCCCGGCGAAGGCU
This 73-nucleotide transfer RNA is filed under the name Stegodyphus mimosarum. It matches the Rfam family "tRNA". Rfam says of the family: Transfer RNA (tRNA) molecules are approximately 80 nucleotides in length. Their secondary structure includes four short double-helical elements and three loops (D, anti-codon, and T loops). Further hydrogen bonds mediate the characteristic L-shaped molecular structure. tRNAs have two regions of fundamental functional importance: the anti-codon, which is responsible for specific mRNA codon recognition, and the 3' end, to which the tRNAs corresponding amino acid is attached (by aminoacyl-tRNA synthetases). tRNAs cope with the degeneracy of the genetic code in two manners: having more than one tRNA (with a specific anti-codon) for a particular amino acid; and 'wobble' base-pairing, i.e. permitting non-standard base-pairing at the 3rd anti-codon position. The record is from Rfam by way of RNAcentral. Lineage: Eukaryota; Metazoa; Arthropoda; Arachnida; Araneae; Eresidae.